RNAcentral lists this small RNA (392 nucleotides) under Pan troglodytes (chimpanzee). RNAcentral's name for it is "processed transcript". The record is from RNAcentral. Lineage: Eukaryota; Metazoa; Chordata; Mammalia; Primates; Hominidae.
GGUCACAGCCCUUGUCCCAUCUGGCAGCUGCCAAGGCCACCACCAUAAAGAAGCCGGCGCGGAGACGCCAUCUUUUUACUCUGCUCUGCUGCGUAUUCAGCCCAAAAUUGUGCACUGCUGGAGGCCAAUGCGGCGCACGUUCAAAAGCUAUGAUGAGGCUGGAACGGGGCUGCUAAGCGUCGCGGAUUUCAGGACGGUCCUGAGACAGUACAGCAUCAACCUCUCUGAGGAAGAGUUCUUCCAUAUUCUGGAGUAUUACGAUAAGACGCUGUCUUCAAAAAUCUCCUACAACGACUUCCUCCGGGCAUUCCUCCAGUAGACACCCCUGCUGUGUGCCCAGCGGGACGAAAGCCACAGGGCCUGUUUCAAGACUAAUAAAAUCCUAUAAUUUG